Molecule: long non-coding RNA, 503 nt
Organism: Onychostruthus taczanowskii (white-rumped snowfinch)
Lineage: Eukaryota; Metazoa; Chordata; Aves; Passeriformes; Passeridae
Exons: 3
Source: RefSeq, a predicted model, not a curated record
AUAGGUUCUGUGUGACCUCACAUCUGUUUCCAUACUGAGUUGCCAUGGAGCUUGCUGGUGAUGGAAAUCUCAAACAGGCUGAGACAGAAAACAUGCACGUGGAUCAGUGUCCUGGAAAAAGUGACUGGAUACCUUUUGACUUCCACUGGCUAGAGCAGAAUUAAAAUGAAAUCCAGCAAAAAGGAUUUUACUUUGAUGCAGAAUUGAACAAGAGCCAAUUGAAAAUGAGAAGUUGUGUGGCAUGAACAUUGUAACUGUUGAUGAAUGAAAACUUCAGUGGGUGCAAAUCAUUCUUUACAAGCACAAGGGACACGAAAUCCCGCAGCUGGAUUACUCCUCAUCCUCCACACCAGCAUCGCUGCAGGACCUGCUCUGAGCAAGGCUGUGGGAAACCCAGACUGCUCACCACGACGGAGAGGUGACCUCCUCCUGAAAGCAAACAGCCCCUUUUGCCAGCAAGGAUCCCACUAAAAUGGAAUCCCACCAAAAUGGAAUCCCACCAA